RNAcentral lists this non-coding RNA (206 nucleotides) under Tateyamaria sp. ANG-S1. The record is from RNAcentral. RNAcentral also lists the same sequence under 1 other name. Lineage: Bacteria; Pseudomonadati; Pseudomonadota; Alphaproteobacteria; Rhodobacterales; Roseobacteraceae.
UCCAUCCACUCGUCAGCAUGGUCGUCACCUCUGGGUGGCGCUAAGAGGGAAUGAGGUGCGGGCGCUUUGCCCAAGUCCUUGACUGCCCCCGCAACUGUAAGCGGAGCGCUGGCACCAUAGAGGCCACUGAGCGCAAUUGCGUUUGGGAAGGCUGGUGCCAACAUCAAUCCGCAAGUCAGGAGACCUGCCUGCUGAUCAAAUUCGAU